GAUUAACGCUGGCGGCGUGCAUAACACAUGCAAGUCGAACGAUGAAACUUAACUGAUUUCUUCGGAAUGAUUUUAAGUGGAUUAGUGGCGGACGGGUGAGUAACGCGUGAGUAACCUGCCUUGGAGAAGGGGAUAGCCUUUGGAAACGAAGAAUAAUACCCUAUGAUAUGAUAAUAUCUCAUGAUAUUAUCAUCAAAGAUUUAUCGCUCUAAGAUGGACUUGCGUCUGAUUAGUUAGUUGGUGAGGUAACAGCUCACCAAGGCAGCGAUCAGUAGCCGGUUUGAGAGGGUGGACGGCCACUUGGGGACGGAGAAACGGCCCAAACCCCUAGGGGGGGGAGGAGGGGGAAAUUUUGCAAAAGGGGGGAACCCCGGAGGCAGCGACGCCGGGGAUUUAAGAAGGCCUUGGGGUUGAAAAAAUUUUUUUUAUGGAAAAAAAAUGAAAGCCCCAAACAAAAAAGGACCGGCUAAUUACGU
Molecule: ribosomal RNA, 476 nt
Filed under: uncultured bacterium
Lineage: Bacteria
Description: partial 16S ribosomal RNA
Rfam family: Bacterial small subunit ribosomal RNA
Source: RNAcentral